This is a non-coding RNA of Acanthosepion pharaonis, 111 nucleotides long. NCBI's taxonomy places the organism in Eukaryota, Metazoa, Mollusca, Cephalopoda, Sepiida, Sepiidae. The record is from the annotation of a GenBank genome assembly.
AGGGCCAUAUCACGUUGAAACACCGGUUCUCGUACGAUGACUGAAGUUAAGCAACAUCGAUCUUGGUCAGUACCUAGAUGUGUGACCACUUUGGGAAUACCAAAUGGUGUA